Medicago truncatula (barrel medic) is the source of this 2810-nucleotide RNA transcript. It is a transcript of the gene named putative pentatricopeptide repeat-containing protein At1g12700, mitochondrial, with no coding region annotated. NCBI's taxonomy places the organism in Eukaryota, Viridiplantae, Streptophyta, Magnoliopsida, Fabales, Fabaceae. The transcript is spliced from 3 exons. The record is from RefSeq and is a predicted model, not a curated record.
UUAUUAAAUGGAAAUCCCAUUGCAAUCUAUCAGUUUCCAGAUUAUAGCAAUACUUACGCCGAUUAGGAUAAACAUAGUAUUCUCGAAACUGUGGUGUACAGAUGGAAAAUCUCAGAACUCAGUCUGAAGCGUUCUCAUUUGUUUGUUAAUCUUAGAGCAAUGUUGUUUACUUCAAUGUUGAACAAGAGGUUCGUUUCUUACUCUCACAAUUUUCUCAUUGCAUUUCAAUCACACUCAUCUUCGAUGAUUAGGGCUUCUUUCUCUCACUCUCUGCACCCAUUUAUUCCUAAAUCAAAUGAUUUUCAUGUUAACGAUCAUGUUUCUUCAUUUCAUCGAAUGCUUCUUAUGCGUCCCACCCCAUCCAUUCUAGAAUUUAAUAAGAUUUUAGGUUCCCUUGUUAAGACCAACAACAACCAUUACACCGCUGCCAUUUCCCUUUCUCAUCAAUUGGAACUCAACGGAAUUACUGCUGAUACUGUUACUUUCAACAUCUUGAUCAAUUGUUACUGCCACUUAGGUGAGAUGACUUUUGCCUUUUCUAUAUUUGCUAAGAUUCUCAAAUUAGGUCAUCACCCCACAACCAUAACCUUCAAUACACUUAUCAAUGGUAUGUGUCUUAACGGUAAGGUCAAGGAAGCUUUGCACUUUCACGAUCAUAUGCUUGCACAUGGAUUUCACUUGAACCAAGUUACUUAUGCUAUAUUGAUCAAUGGCUUGUGUAAAAUGGGGAAAACAACAGAAGCCUUACAAUUGUUAAGAAAGAUUGAUGGGAAAUUGGUUAACAUUAAUGUGGUAAUGCACAACACAAUUAUUGAUAGUUUGUGUAAAGAGAAAUUGGUGACCGAGGCUUAUGAGUUAUAUUCUCAAAUGAUUGUAAAGAAAAUUUCUCCUGAUGUUGUCACUUUCAAUUCUUUAAUCUAUGGAUUUUGCAUUGUUGGUCAAUUGAUAGAAGCAUUUGGUUUGUUCCAUGAAAUGGUAUUGAAAAACAUCAACCCAAAUGUGUAUACUUUUAAUAUAUUGGUUGAUGCUCUUUGUAAGGAAGGAAAUCUGAAAGGAGCUAAGAAUCUGUUAGCCGUGAUGAUGAAAGAAGGUGUAAUACCGAAUGUUGUUACCUACAGUUCAAUAAUGGAUGGAUAUUGCCUAGUUAAUGAAGUGAAUAAGGCCAAACAUGUUUUAAGCACUAUUACUCGAAUGGGAGUGCCUCCUGAUGCUCAGAGCUAUAAUAUCAUGAUUAAUGGGUUCUGUAAGAUUAAAAUGAUCAAUGAAGCCUUCAGUCUCUUUAAUGAAAUGCGUUGCCGAGGAAUUUCUCCCAAUACAGUAACUUACAGUUCUCUCAUUGAUGGUUUGUGUAAAUUAGGUAGAAUCUCCUAUGCUUGGGAGUUUGUUGAUGAGAUGCGUGAUAAUGGUCAACCACCUGACAUAUGCACUUACAAUUCUUUAAUAGAUGCAUUAUGCAAAAACCAUCAUGUUGACAAGGCUAUUGUAUUAGUCAAGAAAAUUAAAGACCAAGGCAUUCAACUAAAUAUGUACACAUACAAUAUACUUAUCGAUGGACUAUGCAAACAAGGAAGGCUUAAGGAUGCACAAGUGAUUUUUCAGGAUCUUUUGAUUAAAGGCUACAAUUUAACAGUCUGGACAUAUACUAUUAUGAUCAAUGGUCUUUGUUUAGAGGGUUUGCUUAAUGAAGCUGAGACCCUGCUGUCAAAAAUGGAAGACAAUGGAUGUGUUCCUGAUGCUGUAACUUGUGAAACAAUUAUUCGCGCUCUCUUUGAAAAUGAUAAGAACGAAAGGGCAGAGAAACUACUACGUGAAAUGAUUGCUAGAGGUCUACUGUAAGAGAAGACUAGUUAAGAGGAUGAUGGACUACACAAUGUACUCACUAUCAAUUUGGUUUCUCUUGAAAUCCAUGUGUUGUUAUGUUCAUUUUGAUAUUUUAACCAUACCAACGGUUUAUUAAUUCUGAGAGUUCAACAAUGUAUUUUGAUGUGCUAUGAUAUCAGUUAGAAAUUUGCUGAGAGAUUAUUUAAAAAAGUGGGAAUUUGAAAUGAACUUCUCAUCAGUUUUUUGUAAUCAAUUUAUAGCACACUAUUCUUUCUUUCAGUUUUUCGGACUGCCUUACUGAAAAACUGAAAGUCAGAAGGUUUGGCAGAUUUUAUAGUUUCCAGUUAUAUUAACAAAGUUGUCUAGUAACUUGAUGCAAUUUUCAGCAAAGAAAUAUUCAGUUGUAUCAAAUUGCAAGUUUAAAAGAAUUUUAUUAGAGAUUGACCACAAGGAACAAUAGAUUUGAUAGAAGAAUCAGUUGAUCAUUGAAUUCAAGGUGACAAAAAUAAUAUACAGCUUCAUAAUUUGUUCCUGGAUUCAUGUGCAACAUUUUUUGGAUGGCUGUCAAGCCUGACAUGGACAACCUAUGAAGUCGGAAGUAAUUUUUGAGAAAAUAGAAUAAUUGAAUGUAGUUAUAUGUUUUAGUGUUAUGUUGGAGACUAGACAGACACACCUUCAAUCUGAAGUGUCAGUGUUAGCAUAAUACACAUGUGAUUGUGAUACGAUGCUCGGCAGUCUGAAUAUGCAGCCGGUGGACCUGAUGAUCAGAAGAUACACUUACAUAAAAUGUGGAAUCUAAUUGGACAAGAGGAUUAUUAUACAUCUCAUAGACUAGAAAGUGAACUUGGAAUGGCUAAGCUGUGCAUGACUGCAUUCAUAUUGCAGCAUCUCCCACAACAGAACCUUGGCCCUUUUCCUAAACAUGUAUGUACUUGCUUUCAUAUAUUUAUUUCACACUUAAUGCAUUUCUAUCUUUCUCUUUUAGAUAA